CGGAAACUUCCAGGAAAAAAACAUAGAAUGUUAAUCUUUUGGAAGUCUGUAAUGCACAUCUAUAUCUUUGACAGCCAACAACAGGUGAUAUUCAAGCAUAACUGAAGUGGAGAAAAAUUGAAAAAAGGUAAAACUCGGAAGCAGUCCCUCACAAGGACAAGCAUAAAGAAGUAUAUACAAUCUUUUUGAUCACUAGAGUAGUGCAUUUGCAAAAGAUCCAGAUGCAUAAAAGUACACUAACCACCAACUAGUAAAGUCAUGGGAUCAGAUACAACGUUCAAAGACAGUCCCUUACAAGGACAAGCAUAAAGAAGUAUAUACAAUCUUUUUGAUCACUAGAGAGUGCAUUUGCAAAAGAUCCAGAUGCAUAAAAGUACACUAACCACCAACUAGUAAAGUCAUGGGAUCAGAUACAACGUUCAAAGACAGUCCCUUACAAGGACAAGCAUAAAGAAGUAUAUACAAUCUUGUUGAUCACUAGAGAGUGCAUUUGCAAAAGAUCCAGAUGCAUAAAACUACACUAACCACCAACUAGUAAAGUCAUGGGAUCAGAUACAACGUUCA
Molecule: long non-coding RNA, 564 nt
Filed under: Solanum tuberosum (potato)
Lineage: Eukaryota; Viridiplantae; Streptophyta; Magnoliopsida; Solanales; Solanaceae
Description: long non-coding RNA (STUB_LNC003042)
Source: RNAcentral